CGCCGAAAUACGUGCCCCGCCGCCCCCGUGAAUUUGAACCGGCCCACCAAGUCCGAACAAAGUAAACCUUAAAAUUUGGAAACCCUGCUCAGGACGAACGCUGGCGGCGUGCCUAAUACAUGCAAGUCGAACGAACUCUGGUAUUGAUUGGUGCUUGCAUCAUGAUUUACAUUUGAGUGAGUGGCGAACUGGUGAGUAACACGUGGGAAACCUGCCCAGAAGCGGGGGAUAACACCUGGAAACAGAUGCUAAUACCGCAUAACAACUUGGACCGCAUGGUCCGAGUUUGAAAGAUGGCUUCGGCUAUCACUUUUGGAUGGUCCCGCGGCGUAUUAGCUAGAUGGUGGGGUAACGGCUCACCAUGGCAAUGAUACGUAGCCGACCUGAGAGGGUAAUCGGCCACAUUGGGACUGAGACACGGCCCAAACUCCUACGGGAGGCAGCAGUAGGGAAUCUUCCACAAUGGACGAAAGUCUGAUGGAGCAACGCCGCGUGAGUGAAGAAGGGUUUCGGCUCGUAAAACUCUGUUGUUAAAGAAGAACAUAUCUGAGAGUAACUGUUCAGGUAUUGACGGUAUUUAACCAGAAAGCCACGGCUAACUACGUGCCAGCAGCCGCGGUAAUACGUAGGUGGCAAGCGUUGUCCGGAUUUAUUGGGCGUAAAGCGAGCGCAGGCGGUUUUUUAAGUCUGAUGUGAAAGCCUUCGGCUCAACCGAAGAAGUGCAUCGGAAACUGGGAAACUUGAGUGCAGAAGAGGACAGUGGAACUCCAUGUGUAGCGGUGAAAUGCGUAGAUAUAUGGAAGAACACCAGUGGCGAAGGCGGCUGUCUGGUCUGUAACUGACGCUGAGGCUCGAAAGUAUGGGUAGCAAACAGGAUUAGAUACCCUGGUAGUCCAUACCGUAAACGAUGAAUGCUAAGUGUUGGAGGGUUUCCGCCCUUCAGUGCUGCAGCUAACGCAUUAAGCAUUCCGCCUGGGGAGUACGGCCGCAAGGCUGAAACUCAAAGGAAUUGACGGGGGCCCGCACAAGCGGUGGAGCAUGUGGUUUAAUUCGAAGCUACGCGAAGAACCUUACCAGGUCUUGACAUACUAUGCAAAUCUAAGAGAUUAGACGUUCCCUUCGGGGACAUGGAUACAGGUGGUGCAUGGUUGUCGUCAGCUCGUGUCGUGAGAUGUUGGGUUAAGUCCCGCAACGAGCGCAACCCUUAUUAUCAGUUGCCAGCAUUAAGUUGGGCACUCUGGUGAGACUGCCGGUGACAAACCGGAGGAAGGUGGGGAUGACGUCAAAUCAUCAUGCCCCUUAUGACCUGGGCUACACACGUGCUACAAUGGAUGGUACAACGAGUUGCGAACUCGCGAGAGUAAGCUAAUCUCUUAAAGCCAUUCUCAGUUCGGAUUGUAGGCUGCAACUCGCCUACAUGAAGUCGGAAUCGCUAGUAAUCGCGGAUCAGCAUGCCGCGGUGAAUACGUUCCCGGGCCUUGUACACACCGCCCGUCACACCAUGAGAGUUUGUAACACCCAAAGUCGGUGGGGUAACCUUUUAGGAACCAGCCGCCUAAGGUGGGACAGAUGAUUAGGGUGAAGUCGUACAAGGGUAAC
Molecule: ribosomal RNA, 1599 nt
Filed under: Lactiplantibacillus pentosus
Lineage: Bacteria; Bacillati; Bacillota; Bacilli; Lactobacillales; Lactobacillaceae
Description: bacterial SSU rRNA
Rfam family: Bacterial small subunit ribosomal RNA
Source: RNAcentral